GGGGCUGUUUACUUAUUGGUGUCGACGAUUGCAAAUCCAUUGUUGUUUAGAUUUUCAAAUAAUUAUCUGUAAUUCAAUAAUUUUUAAAAUAAAUCAAGCUGUAUUUGCAUAAAUUUCAGAAAUAAAAAAUUUAAUUUUAUUUGAAUCAUUCAAAUAAUAAAUAGAUUAUGUUACAAUUGUUGUAAUAAGUAAUACUUUGUGAAUAAAAAUUUCGCAUUUCAAUUCACAAAGUUUUAAAGUUAAAAUACCUUUCUUAAAAAGUACACUCGUCGAAAAAAGAAAUCUAAAUUAUUACUGCAGUCGGAUGUAGGUUCAAGUCCUACCAGCUCCA
Molecule: non-coding RNA, 331 nt
Filed under: Eustigmatophyceae sp. Chic 10/23 P-6w
Lineage: Eukaryota; Eustigmatophyceae
Source: RNAcentral